CGUCCAUGACCUUAAUGCGUGAUGGUAAACGCCGAGUUAGGGAGCGGAUUUGGGCCAGAAAUUGUGGUCAUGGAAUCGUGCAGGCGAGCGUCGCGCUUACGGCCUGAAAAACAGGAACGUCGCCAGCACCAAAGCCGGCACCAGCACCAGCAUCGACCACACCAUAUAGCCGAAAAAGCUCGGCAUUUUCACGCCGGCCUGCCGCGCGAUGGCAUAGACCAUGAAGUUCGGUGCGUUGCCGAUAUAGGUAUUGGCGCCCAUGUAGACCGCGCCGGACGAGAUUGCCGCCAGCGUCGCAGCCNAUCAAAACCUGCGAAUCUCCGCCGGCGAGCUGGAAGAACACCAGAUAGGUCGGCGCAUUGUCG
Molecule: unclassified non-coding RNA, 365 nt
Filed under: Hevea brasiliensis (rubber tree)
Lineage: Eukaryota; Viridiplantae; Streptophyta; Magnoliopsida; Malpighiales; Euphorbiaceae
Source: RNAcentral